RNAcentral lists this ribosomal RNA (345 nucleotides) under uncultured prokaryote. Its description in RNAcentral is "partial 16S ribosomal RNA". The record is from RNAcentral.
CCCUACGGGGCGCGAAUUAUGUGCUGUUAAAAAAAAUUACCCAACUGCGUGAAAUUGCUGCGUUUCGUUUUGUUCUUUACGCGAUAGCUGCGAAAAAUUUAUCAACGUCAUUUAAUAUUAAGGCCACCGAUACGCGCGUAGAGGAUUUUUACGAGCUGCGUGAAAUAACAUUUGGCGUGACUCAUCAAGAAACGACACGAGCAGCGUAUAUGCAUACUUAUGAAUCAUGGGCAGAGGCAAUUUUUUCCUAUUUGACGGAAUUUGUCGAACAAGCGGAGUCCGCGUGACUCGAUGACUCGACGGAUGCGGAGUUUUUAGUUGACGUUAAUGAAUUGGCGGGGGAGC